Molecule: ribosomal RNA, 531 nt
Filed under: Trichoderma polysporum
Lineage: Eukaryota; Fungi; Ascomycota; Sordariomycetes; Hypocreales; Hypocreaceae
Description: eukaryotic LSU rRNA
Rfam family: Eukaryotic large subunit ribosomal RNA
Source: RNAcentral
GAAAUCUGGCCCCUCAAGGUCCGAGUUGUAAUUUGUAGAGGAUGCUUUUGGUGAGGUGCCGCCCGAGUUCCCUGGAACGGGACGCCGCAGAGGGUGAGAGCCCCGUCUGGCUGGCCGCCGAACCUAUGUAAAGCUCCUUCGACGAGUCGAGUAGUUUGGGAAUGCUGCUCAAAAUGGGAGGUAUAUGUCUUCUAAAGCUAAAUAUUGGCCAGAGACCGAUAGCGCACAAGUAGAGUGAUCGAAAGAUGAAAAGCACCUUGAAAAGAGGGUUAAAUAGUACGUGAAAUUGUUGAAAGGGAAGCGCUUGUGACCAGACUUGGGCGCGGCGGAUCAUCCGGGGUUCUCCCCGGUGCACUUCGCCGUGUCCAGGCCAGCAUCAGUUCGUCGCGGGGGAAAAAGGCUUCGGGAACGUGGCUCCUCCGGGAGUGUUAUAGCCCGUUGCAUAAUACCCUGCGGUGGACUGAGGACCGCGCUUCGGCAAGGAUGCUGGCGUAAUGGUCACCAGCGACCCGUCUUGAAACACGGACCAAG